CUCACGACCCUGAGAUCAAAAGUCAUGUGCUCUACUGACCAAGCUGGCCAGGUACCCCUUAAAAUUUUUUAAUUAAAAAUAAAUAAAUAAAUAAAAUAAAAAUUUUAAAUUUUAUUUUACUCUUUUUCAAGUAAGUUUCAUGUCCAUGUGUGGCUUUUUAAAUUUUUUAUUUUUAUUUUCCUUUUUUUUUUUUUGAAAAGUAAACUUUGUGUUUACUUUGUUUUGGUGAUGAUGGCUUCUAGAGCAUCAUUUACCUUCAGAACUGGGAAAAACCCCAACUCAGUGAUCAUUUUGAGUCCACACAGGUAGCCUAAUUCUGUGUCCUGCUGGAAGUACCCAAGGUGGGGAGACAGUGUCAGCCACUUCACCAGCCUACGAGAAGAAUUUAAUGCUCACUUGGAAACAAAUCUAGUAUCGUCUGGUCCUGAUCAAAGAAAAUGUGGUAUUUGUGAGAGCUAUCUUGCUUUCCUCGUGGGGCUUAAAGGCAUGGAUGUCAGAGUGCCCCUCUUCCCUCUCUUCCCUUGGAGCCGGUUGGCUGGCUGCAAUCGCAGUCAAAACUGCUGUGACCAAAUUUGUGAUCAGUGCUGUGAGAACUGUAUUGUCUUAAUUUCAGUUGAGGCUGAAAGCAUAAACUCUAGAAGUGACUUAGUCUAAUGAAGCCUGAGAGUAAUAUGACAGUGGCCUUCAUUUCCAAUCCAGGAGUGCCUCCUACAGCCAUCUUACUACGGAGCCAUUAGCAUAGAAGGACACACAUACCCUGUAGACCAUGUGAGAGGCAUGCUUCCCAUCAAGUGCCUCAUUCAUAGAAGUGCCCUAAAGCCCUUCAGACCUCUGGCACCACCGUCCUGAUUUACUGUGUGACCCACCCUGGUCGAAAACAGAAAGCUGUUCACUGCUCUCCAGCUGCAGUAGAUGACAGUGUCUGGGGACAGGGAGCCUGAUGGGGCGACUGGAUCUAAUCCUGCUUCCUCCUGCUCUGUCUGGCUCUGAGACACCUAUACCCCAGCUUCAUGUACUCUCUGCUUGAGUAUACAGGUGAUUGGUUUUAUAUAAAUCAUAUUUAUACCUUUUGUAUGCUACAUAAAUAAAAGAUAAUUUAUAUAAAAA
Molecule: long non-coding RNA, 1107 nt
Organism: Canis lupus familiaris (dog)
Lineage: Eukaryota; Metazoa; Chordata; Mammalia; Carnivora; Canidae
Exons: 2
Source: RefSeq, a predicted model, not a curated record